RNAcentral lists this long non-coding RNA (401 nucleotides) under Olea europaea (common olive). RNAcentral's name for it is "long non-coding RNA (OEUR_LNC001536)". The record is from RNAcentral. Lineage: Eukaryota; Viridiplantae; Streptophyta; Magnoliopsida; Lamiales; Oleaceae.
ACAAACUAACCCCCGAUUCGUCACCAACGAGGAUUUCUCUCCUAGUUUUUACCCAAACCAUGAGGAGGAAUCUCCCUAGUUGGUCAUGAAACCAGGGAUAAAAUUCCCUUCGGUAUGAUUUUGAGAAAAUCAAGGAAAUUUUGGAUCUUGAUGCAAAGCAUAUAAGGGAUUUUUUUCUCCUAAUUUCGUCUUCCAAAUCUAUGGGCUUGAGUCGUAAAACCAACGAAAAAUCGCUUGUUGAUGGUGAUUGCGAUGACGAGAAGAAAAUGGUGGUAGUGGUUUUUGAAGAUGAAGAUUGUUACCGGUGGUAGUGAUUUUUAGUUUCAGACGAGUGGUCGCGACGAUUGUAGAGAUAGAUAGCUAUGAGGUUUGUGAUAUAGGUGGUGGUGCUGAUGGUGUGU